GCUAGUGUAGCUUAAUAGGUAGAGCAGCUGAUUUGUAAUCAGCGGGUCGGGAGUUCGAGUCUCUUCACUAGCU
This 73-nucleotide transfer RNA is filed under the name Nephromyces sp. ex Molgula occidentalis. RNAcentral describes it as "tRNA-Thr". It matches the Rfam family "tRNA". From Rfam's summary of the family: Transfer RNA (tRNA) molecules are approximately 80 nucleotides in length. Lineage: Eukaryota; Apicomplexa; Aconoidasida; Nephromycida. The record is from RNAcentral.